UGGCAUCCGCUGUUGCCGACAUUGUCGGCUUCGCCAGCAGCCAGGGUUUCAGGCUGCCGUGGAGCUUGCUCCAUGCCACCCGCCAGUUCGCCGUCGCAUCGCUCGGGCGAACGCUGCCCAUGCGGGCAUCGAUGC
RNAcentral lists this non-coding RNA (135 nucleotides) under unclassified sequences. RNAcentral describes it as "radC RNA". It matches the Rfam family "radC RNA". The record is from RNAcentral.